RNAcentral lists this ribosomal RNA (433 nucleotides) under uncultured bacterium. RNAcentral's name for it is "partial 16S ribosomal RNA". It matches the Rfam family "Bacterial small subunit ribosomal RNA", at positions 29 to 507 of the family's 1533-position model. The record is from RNAcentral.
AACGAACGCUGGCGGCAGGCCUAACACAUGCAAGUCGAACGAAGUCUUCGGACUUAGUGGCGCACGGGUGAGUAACACGUGGGAAUAUACCUUACGCUGGGGGAUAACAUCGGGAAACUGAUGCUAAUACCGCAUACGCCCUUCGGGGGAAAGAUUUAUCGGCGAAAGAUUAGCCCGCGUCCGAUUAGCUAGUUGGUGAGGUAAUGGCUCACCAAGGCUCCGAUCGGUAGCUGGUCUGAGAGGAUGACCAGCCACACUGGGGCUGAGACACGGCCCAGACUCCUACGGGAGGCAGCAGUGGGGAAUAUUGGACAAUGGGCGCAAGCCUGAUCCAGCCAUGCCGCGUGAGUGAUGAAGGCCUUAGGGUUGUAAAGCUCUUUCACCCACGACGAUGAUGACGGUAGUGGGAGAAGAAGCCCCGGCUAACUUCGUG